UACGUAGGUGGCAAGCGUUGUCCGGAUUUACUGGGCGUAAAGGGCGUGCAGGCGGUUUGUUAAGUGCAGGGUGAAAGCUCCCGGCUCAACUGGGAGAGGUCCUUGCAUACUGGCAAACUCGAGGGAGGCAGAGGAAAGUGGAAUUCCCGGUGUAGUGGUGAUAUGCGUAGAUAUCGGGAGGAACAUCUGUGGCGAAGGCGACACCCUGGACCAGCACUGACACUGAGGCACGAAAGCGUGGGGAGCAAACAGG
Molecule: ribosomal RNA, 253 nt
Filed under: uncultured bacterium
Lineage: Bacteria
Description: partial 16S ribosomal RNA
Rfam family: Bacterial small subunit ribosomal RNA
Source: RNAcentral